RNAcentral lists this unclassified non-coding RNA (365 nucleotides) under uncultured Chloroflexota bacterium. Its description in RNAcentral is "uncultured Chloroflexi bacterium contains 16S-23S intergenic spacer region". Lineage: Bacteria; Bacillati; Chloroflexota. The record is from RNAcentral.
UCUGGGUUUAUCCCAGCGGUCUCGUUAGAAAGGUGUAACUAACGACGAGGGUUGCGCUCGUUGCGGGACUUAACCCAACACCUCACGGCACGAGCUGACGACAGCCAUGCAGCACCUGUGCUAGCUCCCCGAAGGGUCCUUCAUCUUUCGAAUCCGUACCACUAGCAUGUCAAACCCAGGUAAGGUUCUUCGCGUUGCCUCGAAUUAAACCACACGCUCCGCUGCUUGUGCGGGCCCCCGCCUAUUCCUUUGAGUUUUAACCUUGCGGCCGUAGUCCCCAGGCGGUGAACUUAAUGCGUUAGCUGCGGCACUGAUCGGGUCAAUCCGACCAACACCUAGUUCACAACGUUUAGGGCGUGGACUAC